GAUGAGAACAGUUUUGUCCUUCUAGUGUUUGGGAUACAGGAAGAAGCGAUUAAACAAGGAGAUCAGGUCACACUAUUGGAGCCCUUCUGCAAAUUUGUAGAUUUUAAAUGGAAGGAAAAGCACUAUCAAUUCCAAUCUGUGCGAGUCAAUAAUGUGGAACAAGUCCUUGUAAAUGGAAAGGCUGUAUCUUCUGAUUUUGCUAUAUAACCAAUACCAAUGUAGUCAUAAACUCUACUGUGUGUAAGCUACCGUGGGAUUCGAGGAAACAAAUACUUAACUGCUUGUCUACUACAUGCAAUUAGCAGGUGUUACAACUUGAUAUGAGAUUAAACUCUACUGUGUGUAAGCUGCCGUGGGAUUCGAGGAAACAAAUACUUAACUGCUUGUCUACUACAUGCAAUUAGCAGGUGUUACAACUUGAUAUGAGAUUAAACUCUACUGUGUGUAAGCUGCCGUGGGAUUCGAGGAAACAAAUACUUAACUGCUUGUCUACUACAUGCAAUUAGCAGGUGUUACAACUUGAUAUGAGAUUAAACUCUACUGUGUGUAAGCUGCCGUGGGAUUCGAGGAAACAAAUACUUAACUGCUUGUCUACUACAUGCAAUUAGCAGGUGUUACAACUUGAUAUGAGAUUAAACUCUACUGUGUGUAAGCUGCCGUGGGAUUCGAGGAAACAAAUACUUAACUGCUUGUCUACUACAUGCAAUUAGCAGGUGUUACAACUUGAUAUGAGAUUAAACUCUACUGUGUGUAAGCUGCCGUGGGAUUCGAGGAAACAAAUACUUAACUGCUUGUCUACUACAUGC
Solanum tuberosum (potato) is the source of this 806-nucleotide long non-coding RNA. RefSeq lists it as uncharacterized. NCBI's taxonomy places the organism in Eukaryota, Viridiplantae, Streptophyta, Magnoliopsida, Solanales, Solanaceae. The record is from RefSeq and is a predicted model, not a curated record. The transcript has 3 exons.